UACGGAGGGUGCAAGCGUUAUCCGGAUUUACUGGGGUUAAAGGGUGCGUAGGUGGGUAGGUAAGUCAGUGGUGAAAUCUUCGAGCUUAACUCGGAAACUGCCAUUGAUACUAUUUAUCUUGAAUACUCUGGAGGUAAGCGGAAUAUGUCAUGUAGCGGUGGAAUGCUUAGAUAUGACAUAGAACACCAAUUGCGAAGGCGGCUUACUACAUAGUUAUUGACACUGAGGCACGAAAGCGUGGGGAUCAAACAGG
This 253-nucleotide ribosomal RNA is filed under the name uncultured bacterium. RNAcentral describes it as "partial 16S ribosomal RNA". It matches the Rfam family "Bacterial small subunit ribosomal RNA", at positions 524 to 776 of the family's 1533-position model. The record is from RNAcentral.